AGUGUAAUGAAAUGGCAUCAUUUUUAUUACUAAAGUUCCAACGGUACAAGAUGAGCAUGCGUCCCAUUUAGCUAGUUGGUGUGGUAACGGCAUACCAAGGCAACGAUGGGUAGGGGGUCCUGAGAGGGAGAUGCCCCACACUGGUACUGAGACACGGACCAGACUCCUACGGGAGGCAGCAGUGAGGAAUAUUGGUCAAUGGGCGCAAGCCUGAACCAGCCAUGCCGCGUGCAGGAUGACGGUCCUAUGGAUUGUAAACUGCUUUUAUACAGGAAGAAACCCUCCCACGUGUGGGAGCUUGACGGUACUGUAGGAAUAAGGAUCGGCUAACUCCGUG
This 337-nucleotide ribosomal RNA is filed under the name uncultured bacterium. RNAcentral's name for it is "bacterial SSU rRNA". It matches the Rfam family "Bacterial small subunit ribosomal RNA", at positions 173 to 507 of the family's 1533-position model. The record is from RNAcentral.